AUGGAAUUUGAGUCAUCUGAUGAAGAUUAUAGUUAUGAUGAAGAUAGUGAUGGGAACAUGGUGAGAAGCAAGAGCAAAUACCCAAGGUUUAACCCAGAUUCUGAUAUACCACACUUCAGUUUGGGCAUGGUUUUCAGGAGCAAAAAUCAGUUUGUCAAGGCAGUGAAAAGAUAUGGUCUUGCUACCAAAAGAAGCAUGAGAUUCAAGAAGUCAGAGGGGACCAGGGUCAGGGUUGAAUGUGGAUGGCCUGGUUGUCCAUGGGUAGUCUAUGCAGCAAAGACCACCAGAUGCUCAAGGUUUCAAAUAAUAACCUUUGAUGAUGACCACCAGUGUGCACAAAACAGAGAUAGAUUAGUUACUGCAAAGGUCAUAGCACAGAGAUAUGAGCACUUCAUAUUGGCCAAUCCAAUGUGGAAGAUCGAUAGCAUUAAAGCAACUGUACUGAAAGACAUGUUUGCUGAUGUGUCAACUUCAAAGUGUAAGGCUGCAAAAAAAAAUUGUAAUGGACAAGUUAUUGUGUGGCAUGAAGAGUGA
RNAcentral lists this ribosomal RNA (534 nucleotides) under Triticum aestivum (bread wheat). RNAcentral's name for it is "partial small subunit ribosomal RNA". The record is from RNAcentral. Lineage: Eukaryota; Viridiplantae; Streptophyta; Magnoliopsida; Poales; Poaceae.